UCGAAUCAAACUCCUAAGGAAAACUACUAGAGCUAGCACCAGACUACCAGAGCAGCAUCUCCCUUCUGACGCUACACUCCAGUGCCUCGCUAGACUCCACACACCUUGCUAAAGAUGGCCGCCGGUCUCGUCAAGCCGUCGUGGGCGUGCAUUGCCAUCAUCGUCUUAAUCGUCACGUCGUCCAGCGGCGCGGCGACCGGCGAGGCGAGGAGGCUGCUGGUUGCGGAGAAACACGCGGUCGAGGGAUCAUGCGCCGGUGGUUGCCGUCCUCUGGUGCAAGGUCUCACGGCGACAACCACCAGCAAGAUGGCGACCACCGACGGGCGGCCCACGGCUCCCGGACACAGCCCAGGCAUUGGCAACAAGAUCGCUGGCAACACCCGUUGAAAUGAAUAUACUCCCUCCAUUCCAAAUUAUAAAUCCACUAAUUCAUCGAUCGAUCGAUCAAUCAUCAUGACCAUCAUCAUUUGCGCGCGUUCCUUCGUUACGCAGUCCAGGGAUCGGCAAACAAGAUCGCUGGCAACACCCAGCCCGUUGAAAUAUACAUCAUCAACGAGAAGCCUUUAUUUGCUUGAUGUACAUGCAUGUUUCUUUGUUUUAAUUUCCUUGUGGUUGUACAUGAGAUAGUGCAUCGAUCAUGAACUUGUAAUGCAAAUUUCCUUUUCCUUUUCCUUUCCCUUUCUUUUGUAAUAAAGUUACUCAUGUUUUGUACGGCCCCCGUCUCUUUAUUUGUGUAUAAAAAAAAUACUCUAUGUUCCUCUC
Molecule: long non-coding RNA, 762 nt
Filed under: Sorghum bicolor (sorghum)
Lineage: Eukaryota; Viridiplantae; Streptophyta; Magnoliopsida; Poales; Poaceae
Description: long non-coding RNA (SBIC_LNC003642)
Source: RNAcentral